This 253-nucleotide ribosomal RNA is filed under the name uncultured bacterium. Its description in RNAcentral is "partial 16S ribosomal RNA". It matches the Rfam family "Bacterial small subunit ribosomal RNA", at positions 524 to 776 of the family's 1533-position model. The record is from RNAcentral.
UACGUAGGCAGCAAGCGUUGUUCGGAGUUACUGGGCGUAAAGGGUGUGUAGGCGGUUGUUUAAGUUUGGUGUGAAAUCUCCCGGCUCAACUGGGAGGGUGCGCCGAAUACUGAAUGACUAGAGUGCGGGAGAGGAAAGUGGAAUUCCUGGUGUAGCAGUGAAAUGCGUAGAUAUCAGGAGGAACACCGAUGGCGAAGGCAGGUCUCUGGGCUGAAACUGACGCUCAUGCACGAAAGCGUGGGGAGCAAACAGG